RNAcentral lists this ribosomal RNA (253 nucleotides) under uncultured bacterium. Its description in RNAcentral is "partial 16S ribosomal RNA". It matches the Rfam family "Bacterial small subunit ribosomal RNA", at positions 524 to 776 of the family's 1533-position model. The record is from RNAcentral.
UACGGAGGAUCCAAGCGUUAUCCGGAUUUAUUGGGUUUAAAGGGUGCGUAGGCGGCCUAUUAAGUCCGGGGUGAAAGACGGUAGCUUAACUAUCGCAGUGCCUUUGAUACUGAUGGGCUUGAAUGUACUUGAGGUAGGCGGAAUGUGACAAGUAGCGGUGAAAUGCAUAGAUAUGUCACAGAACACCAAUUGCGAAGGCAGCUUACUAAAGUAUGAUUGACGCUGAGGCACGAAAGCGUGGGGAUCAAACAGG